UUGUAGGACACUCCUUUGGAGUUACAAAGAAACCAUAUAGACGAAGCGGCUUGGAAUGGCCCGCCAUAGAAGGUAAGAGCCCUGUACUUGAAAUGUGGUUUCCUCCGGAGUGUAUCCUGAGUACGGCGGAACACGUGAAAUUCCGUCGGAAUCCGGGAGGACCAUCUCCCAAGGCUAAAUACUCCCUAGUGACCGAUAGUGAACCAGUACCGUGAGGGAAAGGUGAAAAGCACCCCGGAAGGGGAGUGAAAUAGAUCCUGAAACCGUGUGCCUACAAGUAGUCGAAGCCCGUUAAUGGGUGACGGCGUACCUUUUGUAGAAUGGACCGGCGAGUUACGAUCCCCUGCAAGGUUAAGUUGUAUAGACGGAGCCGCAGCGAAAGCGAGUCUGAAUAGGGCGAUAUAGUAGGUGGUCGUAGACCCGAAACCGUGUGAUCUACCCAUGUCCAGGGUGAAGGUCAGGUAACACUGACUGGAGGCCCGAACCCACGCACGUUGAAAAGUGCGGGGAUGAGGUGUGGGUAGGGGUGAAAUGCCAAUCGAACACGGAGAUAGCUGGUUCUCUCCGAAAUAGCUUUAGGGCUAGCCUCAAAGGAUGAUGGUUGGAGGUAGAGCACUGAUUGGACUAGGGG
Molecule: ribosomal RNA, 631 nt
Filed under: Terribacillus saccharophilus
Lineage: Bacteria; Bacillati; Bacillota; Bacilli; Caryophanales; Bacillaceae
Description: bacterial LSU rRNA
Rfam family: Bacterial large subunit ribosomal RNA
Source: RNAcentral